UGAAAAACACUGUUGUAUAAUGUUUGUAUAGUUUAUCUAAUAUGAUGGUUAUUGUCCAUCAUUAGACAUGUACAAGAUUUUGCCUUCACAUUUUCGACUUGAUGUAUAUAUGUAUUUGUAAUAUUUUUAAUACACAACCAAUAAUAUAACAGAAUUUUCUAAAGGCGAAGAAGCAUGGUGGAUAUAAAAGUGAUUCAUUCUCAGCAGCCAAGUGUUAUUUUUAUGGCACAUAUUAGGCAAAAUACUCUUUGGCAUUAACAUAACAAAUGCUUUUUGAUAUUGUUGUUACAUUGCUCAAUAUAUGUAUUCAACUUAUCAAAUAAAUUCGAACAUCAAACAAGUUGGAUAUGUAUGUGAUAAUUGAGGAUUUGUGUAUAACAUAUUUAGUGAUGAGCCAGCCAAUCGGAGGAGCCGGCCAACCAGCUCUAAUAGCAAUAAAUAUUAAUGUUGAUGUUCGGGUUUGUUUGUAUAAGUAGUAUAUUUUUUUAGUUUAGUCAAUAUUAAAUUUAAAUACUAAACAAAAUCACGAAGCAUACAUUAAAUUUAAAUGUAUAAGGGGUCUGCACUCGCAAUACUUCUCACUUGUAGGCAGAGACAAGGCGGUGGAGAAUGCACUAACCGCGCCCAAAGCAGACCGAUUGCAAUAAAUCAUAUCUUGUUCUCUCUUUGCAACUGAUUUGUAAUACUGCAGUAUUGCAUGCAAAUACUCGUAAAGCGUACGUUUAAAUAACAUCAGGAAAACGACACUUACAAUUAGAUCAAUAUUAUCAGUAUAAGCAUCAGCAUCAGCAUCAGCAUCAGCAUCAGCAUCAGCAUCAGUAUCAGCAUCAGCUGCUAUCUUCUUAAUUACUCAUCUUACAUUUGAAUAUUUCAAGUGAAAAAGUAACACUUACAUUGUGAAGAGAAGUAAUUAACCGAUGGACCAGCUAGAGAUCACUUGGUUAUUGAUGCUUUAUGAAACUUAAAAAUAUUGCUGCUUUAACUAAAUAUUGCAGAAUUGUAAAAAUGUAAUUUGGAUUUAGAUUAAAUAUUAAAGAUAUUUCAGUAUUAAAGACUAUUGAUUGAUUGAUUGAUUGAUUGAUUGAUUGAUUGAUUAUAUGUCUGAUGUACCCCCACAAAGUAUUAUUAUUAUUAUUAUUAUUAUUAUUAUUAUUAUUAUUAGUAUUAUAUUUAUUUCUUUUAAAAUGGAAUGGACAACGGAUUGAAUGGGUUGUCUCAUCACACGUGUCUUAAAACAAAAAAUAAAAAGAUAUAAAUAACUUUUUACUGUAUAUAUUUAUGUUUUUUAAAUCCAGAUAUGUGUAAAUUUGCACCACUUUGAAUUAUUUGCUGAUCUAUAAAAAUAUAUAUAUAUUAAAAAAUAAAAUGAUUUUUUUUA
Long non-coding RNA from Aethina tumida (small hive beetle), 1378 nucleotides. RefSeq lists it as uncharacterized. The transcript is spliced from 2 exons. NCBI's taxonomy places the organism in Eukaryota, Metazoa, Arthropoda, Insecta, Coleoptera, Nitidulidae. The record is from RefSeq and is a predicted model, not a curated record.